RNAcentral lists this transfer RNA (72 nucleotides) under Rickettsiales bacterium (ex Bugula neritina AB1). Its description in RNAcentral is "tRNA-Val". It matches the Rfam family "tRNA". From Rfam's summary of the family: Transfer RNA (tRNA) molecules are approximately 80 nucleotides in length. Their secondary structure includes four short double-helical elements and three loops (D, anti-codon, and T loops). Lineage: Bacteria; Pseudomonadati; Pseudomonadota; Alphaproteobacteria; Rickettsiales. The record is from RNAcentral.
GAGUAUGUAACUCAAUGGUAGAGUACUACACCGACAUUGUAGAGGUUUGAGGUUCGAAUCCUCACAUAUUCA